AAGACUAUACUUUCAGGGAUCAUUUCUAUAGUUCUUAACUAGGAAAUGUGUUUCGAAAGUGUUGCGUCUCCCAAACCACGAUGAUGAAUUCUGAUACUCUUUUCUGAGCGUGAAUCGGGUGUAGAAUAAUGAUUUAUUUCAUAAGUUCUGCAUCAUUGAUGAACGUUCCGUACUGCGCUUUUGCAGUCUGGAGGAAAAGGGUAUGAUCAGAGUGGUU
This is a small nucleolar RNA of Cyprinus carpio (common carp), 217 nucleotides long. The record is from Ensembl. NCBI's taxonomy places the organism in Eukaryota, Metazoa, Chordata, Actinopteri, Cypriniformes, Cyprinidae.